UUUCAAUCGCAAAGGUGGGAGGUUGGCAUCAUGUCGUUGGACAUCAUUUUUGAAAAUUGUCUGACAUGUGGAUCCUCUGUGGAAAUUUCACUGUUAGAAUCUCACUCUGCGACAUGUGUUAAAAAGAUAGAACGUACUGCUUUAAGUAAUGCUGGGAGACCAAAGAUUGAUGUCAACAUACAAUUACUGGAAUAAUACCUAGACCAGAGAAUCCCCGUUACAAAAAUAGCUGAACUGCUUAACAUCAGCAAAAGGACCUUGUUCAGAGUUCUUAACGAGACAAACCAUACAGCGCUAGACCUAAGUACACAAAGAUCUCUGAUGCACAACUCGAUGCAUGUCUCACAAGUAUGUUGCGAUCCAACCCAAAGUUUGGUCUGCAGAUGUUUAAAGGUUGCACCAUUUCUAAAAAUAUUCUUCUUAAGCAAAAACAACUGGGUGAAAGUUGUAGAAGAGUCAGGCAACAGGAAAAUGCACCCAUGAUCCAACGCAUCAAGCGUAGAGAAUAUAAAGUGAGAGCUCCACUGUCCUUGUGGCACAUUGAUGGCCACCACAAAAUGGACCGUUUGGAUUUAUUAUUCAUGGAGCCAUAGAUGGUUAUACGCGUUUGAUCGCCUAUAUAUCAUUGGAAAAUACAAAUUUUUCUGAAACCGUGGUCAGUUUAUUUCAAACAGCAGUCACCGAGUGGGGAUAUCCAAGCCAGUGUAAAGUCCGACGAGGGCCGUGAAAAUGUAUUAGUGGCAGAUUUCAUGAUAAAUGCCAGAGGGGUUUACCGAAAGAGUUUUCGAACGGGAUUUUCAGUCCACAAUCAACGCGUGGAACGCCUCUGGAGGGAUACCAUCGAGAGAUGUACUUCUACUUUUAUGGAGAUGUUUAAGCAGAUGGAGAGAGAUGAUAUUCUGGAUGUAGGGUCGAAUGUAGACUUUUUCUGCCUCCACGUAGUUGGCUAAGAUUUAAUUCAACGUUCGCUACAAACUUUUCGGGAAGCAUGGAACUGUCAUCCUAUUCGAACCGAAAAGGACAUGUCUCCUAUGGAACGUAUUUUAACUAUAUUAAACCUAUUUAACGUAUAUUAAAGGAUUGCAGAUGUAGAUGGAAGAAAACGAAAAUGGAACUUUCGACGAGAAACCAACGGAACUCAUUCAGAGGCAAGUCGCGUGGACGUUGUCUUGAUCCUUCCAUCAAGACCUUGGCUCGACAAACCAAGUGGCUCUCCAGCAAGCCGGGAUUCGGGACCCACCCUAUCGUCCGUCUUGUUUCUACAAGCAUGACACACACACAUGAUAACGGUAACGUCUUAUUCAAAUCCAUUUUCUUUUUUCCUGUUACGCCACCAUCGUCUAGAAUGUUAGUUUAUGUGCUACAUUUAAGUCGAGCUCCUAUGCCAACACAACUUGAAUUCGAUUAUGCAUCGGCAAUUGAAAUUGGCUUUUGUCUUCGAGUGACGGACGUCCUUAUUGUCAAAUCCUUGGCCCGUGUCGCAAGGGUGGAAGGUUGGAAUCAUGUCGUUGGACAUAAUUUUUGAAAAUUGUCUGACAUGUGGAUCCUCUAUGGAAAUUUCACUGUUAGAAUCUCACUCUGCGACAUGGUAAAAACUGCUUUUAGUUUGUUGGGAUCGUGAAUUAAAAUAAAACGUUCAAAAACGUACGGUUUGUUCCGCGUACCUUUCAAAGCGUACUCUGGCGGAGACAGACAAAUAAUUUUCGGAACCAAACACAAGUGGCGCUAGUGGCCCUGGGAGAGUUUUAAAAUUCAUAUCUAAUAGCUCCAUGACAGAGCUUCUGUGAUUCGCCGCCAGGUGGCAGCAUAGAUUUGACGGGUAGUUUUCAAAAUAGCGGGGCGAUGUAGCGUUCUCGAUAGCGCCAUAGCUUAGCGGGGGUGACGAAUAGCAUCUGAGGUUGAGGUGGGGGGUGACGACUAGCAUCCGAGGUUGAAGUGGGGGUGACGAUGAAUAGCAUCCGAGGUUGAGGUUUUGCUUGUAUGGUGCAGGGGAGACUUUUGGCACGAAAAACUUGCCAUACAGGAGGGGCUGACUACCUAAAACUGUGUUGACCACGUGUGAUUAAGUACCCGCGAUUCCACUGGGUUUGUCAUCGGCUCGUAAUUUUUGGCUCGUCAGUUGAGCAAGCGAUUCAGGAUUUCAGGUAUCAUUGUCACCCAACCUUCUCGGACGCGGACAAUGUAUAGAAUUUAAAAACUUAGUUUCACCACACAAAACCUGCAUAUUAUCCACGGAAAAAAUUUUCAGAGUAGUUUCACGCGAUUACCUCGGGUCAGCAGUUAACGAUAGUCUUCUCUGGCAACUCUUCCUACACUGCACUUCCUGGACCUAAAUGUCAACCUAAAACAGAAAUAGAGUUGGCUAACGUCCGAAGUUGCCAGUUCGAUUAAUUGUGAAAAAAAAAUUGGACAAAAACUAGUAACAGUUUUUGCAUGGCGGCUUACGGAG
Molecule: long non-coding RNA, 2449 nt
Filed under: Daphnia magna
Lineage: Eukaryota; Metazoa; Arthropoda; Branchiopoda; Diplostraca; Daphniidae
Description: uncharacterized LOC116926725, transcript variant X2
Source: RNAcentral